This 391-nucleotide ribosomal RNA is filed under the name uncultured bacterium. RNAcentral describes it as "bacterial SSU rRNA". It matches the Rfam family "Bacterial small subunit ribosomal RNA", at positions 335 to 716 of the family's 1533-position model. The record is from RNAcentral.
ACUCCUACGGGAGGCAGCAGUGGGGAAUAUUGCACAAUGGGGGAAACCCUGAUGCAGCCAUGCCGCGUGUGUGAAGAAGGCCUUCGGGUUGUAAAGCACUUUCAGUAGGGAGGAAGGUAGUGUAGUUAACACCUGCAUCAUUUGAUUGUAUACCUACAGAAGAAGCACCGGCUAACUCCGUGCCAGCAGCCGCGGUAAUACGGAGGGUGCGAGCGUUAAUCGGAAUUACUGGGCGUAAAGCGCAUGCAGGCGGCCUGUUAAGUCAGAUGUGAAAGCCCGGGGCUUAACCUCGGAAUUGCAUUUGAAACUGGCAGGCUAGAGUCUUGUAGAGGGGGGUAGAAUUUCAGGUGUAGCGGUGAAAUGCGUAGAGAUCUGAAGGAAUACCAGUGGC